Long non-coding RNA from Megalops cyprinoides (Indo-Pacific tarpon), 94 nucleotides. RefSeq lists it as uncharacterized. NCBI's taxonomy places the organism in Eukaryota, Metazoa, Chordata, Actinopteri, Elopiformes, Megalopidae. The transcript is spliced from 3 exons. The record is from RefSeq and is a predicted model, not a curated record.
CUCAUAGUAGCAUGGAAAAAAGGGUGGCUCCAAAGAUUAAUACAGUUAAUACAAGGACUAAGAGGUGAUGGUAACCAGGGGAGAGGAGAAGGAC